This 208-nucleotide ribosomal RNA is filed under the name uncultured delta proteobacterium. RNAcentral describes it as "partial 16S ribosomal RNA". It matches the Rfam family "Bacterial small subunit ribosomal RNA", at positions 568 to 775 of the family's 1533-position model. Lineage: Bacteria; Deltaproteobacteria. The record is from RNAcentral.
CGCGUAGGCGGUUUUGUCGGUCAGAUGUGAAAGCCCAGGGCUCAACCCUGGACGUGCAUUUGAAACAGCAAGACUUGAGUACGGGAGAGGAAAGCGGAAUUCCUGGUGUAGAGGUGAAAUUCGUAGAUAUCAGGAGGAACACCGAUGGCGAAGGCAGCUUUCUGGACCGAUACUGACGCUGAGGCGCGAAGGCGUGGGUAGCGAACAG